Cavia porcellus (domestic guinea pig) is the source of this 109-nucleotide ribosomal RNA. The record is from Ensembl. NCBI's taxonomy places the organism in Eukaryota, Metazoa, Chordata, Mammalia, Rodentia, Caviidae.
AUCUAUAGCCAUACCACUCUAAAUGUACCUGAUCUCAGAAGCUAAGCAUGGUCGGGCCUGGUUAGUACUUGGAUGGGAGACCACCUGGGAAUACUGGGUGCUGCAGGCU